UAGUGUAGAGAAUCUGCCCUGUACUGGGGGACAACAGAGGGAAACUUCUGCUAAUACCCCAUAUGAGCGUACCUGCGAUGGUAUUCUUGAAAGUUCCGGCGGUACAGGAUGAGUCUGCAUCUGAUUAGCUAGUUGGUGGUGUAACGGACUACCAAGGCGACGAUCAGUAGCUGGUUUGAGAGGAUGAUCAGCCACAAUGGGACUGAGACACGGCCCAUACUCCUACGGGAGGCAGCAG
RNAcentral lists this ribosomal RNA (238 nucleotides) under uncultured bacterium. RNAcentral's name for it is "partial 16S ribosomal RNA". It matches the Rfam family "Bacterial small subunit ribosomal RNA", at positions 113 to 354 of the family's 1533-position model. The record is from RNAcentral.